UAAUACGGAGGAUGCAAGCGUUAUCCGGAUUUAUUGGGUUUAAAGGGUCCGCAGGCGGACUAUUAAGUCAGUGGUGAAAGCCUGCAGCUUAACUGUAGAAUUGCCAUUGAUACUGAUAGUCUUGAGUGUGGUUGAUGUGGGCGGAAUAUGACAUGUAGCGGUGAAAUGCAUAGAGAUGUCAUAGAACACCGAUUGCGAAGGCAGCUCACAAAACCAUUACUGACGCUCAGGGACGAAAGCGUGGGGAGCAAACAGG
RNAcentral lists this ribosomal RNA (256 nucleotides) under uncultured bacterium. Its description in RNAcentral is "partial 16S ribosomal RNA". It matches the Rfam family "Bacterial small subunit ribosomal RNA", at positions 521 to 776 of the family's 1533-position model. The record is from RNAcentral.